GGCAGGGAGAGCGCAGGGAAGGAGGGAGAAGGGGAGGGAGGCAGGGAGAGCGCAGGGAAGGAGGGAGACGGGGAGGCAGGCAGGGAGAGCGCAGGGAAGGAGGGAGACGGGGAGGCAGGCAGGGAGAGAAGCAGGCAAGCAGAGAGAGAGGCAGGGAUGGAGAUAGGCAGGCAGGGAGAGAGGCAGGCAGGGAGAGAGGGAGGCAGGGAUGGAGAGAGGCAGGCAGGGAGAGAAGCAGGCAAGCAGAGAGGGAGGCAGGGAUGGAGAGAGGCAGGCAGGGAGGGAAGCAGGCAAGCAGAGAGGGAGGCAGGGAUGGAGAGAGGCAGGCAGGGAGAGAAGCAGGCAAGCAGAGAGGGAGGCAGGGAUGGAGAUAGGCAGGGAGGGAAGCAAGCAGGCAGAGAGGGAGGCAGGGAUGGAGAUAGGCAGGCAGUGAGGGAAGCAAGCAGGCAGGCAGAGAGGGAGGCAGGGAUGGAGAUAGGCAGGCAGGGAGAGAAGCAAGCAAGCAGGCAGAGAGGGAGGCAGGGAUGGAGAUAGGCAGGCAGGGAGGGAAGCAGGCAGGCAGAGAGGGA
Oncorhynchus tshawytscha (Chinook salmon) is the source of this 569-nucleotide long non-coding RNA. The record is from Ensembl. Lineage: Eukaryota; Metazoa; Chordata; Actinopteri; Salmoniformes; Salmonidae.